UCUGAUCUUAUCUUAGCGGAGGAUCUACAGUGUAUUGUGAAUUAGCCAUGUCACACAGAGCGGGGCGGUUUUGGAAGCGAAUUCAUAUCGAGAAAUAAAAACCGUCGCGAUAUCCGCCGCGGUGAAUCCGGCUAAUGUGACAUCAGCCUUAAUGCGUUUGGCCGCUGUCAAUUUGAACUCAAGUAAUGGCUGACCGGCAAUGCUGACAUCAAGACGGGUCUAUGGUACUAGGUGAGGCCGUUUCGUCACUAAGUUGGUAGGGGAGCGGUAUAUGAAAACAGUACGGAAGAAAGCAGAAAGGGAAUUAUUUCCUUGAAGCGUGAAAGAGACAAACUGAUCACGAGCGAGCUUGAGUACAAGCGUAUUGUGUUUUGUUUACAAACAAAACACAGUAGACUUCCAAGAUGGCUGAAGAGUGGUUCUAGCAAGUUGACCCACCUUAGGAUAUACUUCUACACUGGAGAAAACCAUUAGUAAAUGCAGCUACCAAAUCUUUAGUAGUUGAAACAUUGAUACAAUUUACAUCCCUACCAAUGAUUCGUAAAUUUUACUUCAUAGCAUAAGUAAUCUCUAGUAUGUUCAUAACUAGCAACUGUGUGUGCAAUCACCAUUCCUCUAGUGGAAGAGAAUCGAUUCGGAGUUUCUAACCGCAGAAAACAAUAACAAAUGUUUUAGGCGGGCGUAAAACGAAAAGCUGUUAAGUGAUAAAGAGCGAAAUGUUUUUUGGACAAACUAAUCAUUGGAGGCUAAAAACGACAGAAAUCCACGUGCAUUGCGAUGAUGAAAUUUGAUUGAUAAUCCGACUAUUGUUUACUUUUUCCCUUCUUCCGUUUUCAACAGAUCACAACCAGCCGCAGCAAUGAAUUGCUCCCCCUCGAUCGACUCGUCGUCCCAGGAAGCGAUGGGUAUCAGUAUGGCUAAUCGUACCGCCAGCAGCGUGAAGCAACUGUUACGCACCGAACAAUCGUCAGCAAACAAAAAAUUACAAUUCGGACAAAAUCGGCUCGGAUGAGGAGCAGUAGCACCAGCGCAGAUCGUCUGUGCUGUUUCAGUUACACACUGUCUGCAGCCAAAAUUCUCACCAGCUGAUGGACAAUUUGUUCGAAAGUUCGAUAGUUCCAAUCACAUCGCCACAACAAUAAUAUACAAUAAACUACAGCGGGAAGCGUCCGCACUCGCUCAUCACGGCUAGCAACAUUCUAAAGCAGCUCUUUGCGAUGGCAGUCAGCGACGACUACCAACAGCAGCCCACAAACCCUACCAUCAAAGCACGAUUUUCGGAGCAUACCCGGUCCCUCAACAACAGAAAAUUCGCGUCCGGGGGUUAACGGAGAGUCAUUUUGUGUAUAAAAUUGCUCCAAAGUGAUUUCGUCCGCUUCCUUGCUGGAACCGUCGGCGAAGAUAACGGUACAAACGUGGUGUACGAGAACUAUUUUAGCAGAUCCGAUGUUCCGCUGCACAAGCGUCGAGGAGUGGCUGGUGGCUUCUGGUGCAAGAGCAACAACUGCGACACAGAAGAUUCAAAUCAAUCGUCGAUACAGCAGAAGAAAUAAUCCACCUGCAACCUAGACCCAAACCAAAUCAGCUGCCUCUACUGUCAAUGCAUGUUCCCCUCGGACAACUUCAGGAGACUGCUAUCUCGUCGAAUGAAUUACUCAUGACCGAUUCCGCCGCGAAGGAGUAUUUUACUGACAUUGACCUCCAAGGGAGAGAUGUUAGAAAACAGAAAAGAAAGGUCCCCGAUUCAAAGCUAUAAUGUGGCCGAGUGAAAAACAUACAACAUACAUGCAGCUUCCAUCGGGAUUACCAGUGAGAAUAGAAAUCCAGCUAUUCCAUGUGUUGAACGCGAUUGUUGCAUUUGGCAACGUAUUCGCGAUAGGGGCACCCGUGAUCAACGUGAACCACAUCAAGAAGAGCAAAGAGCGUACGACAUGCAUUAUCGAGGAUUUGUGUUUCGAUGUCCCAUCCGAGUAUGUACGACGUGGUUCCGAUUUCCAUCUUUAAAUCACCUUCGAAGUUGAGGAUGAAUUGAUGUAAUUUGCGAUUUGGGUCGCGUAGCGAGAACGACGAGGUGGAUAUAUGGGAAGCACUGAGAGUCCAACUCCCACUAACAUCAAACUUCUACGAAGGCGAUAAGUUGCGAGGGCUUGUAUGUUUGUUUGUAUUUUUACUCUCUAUUGUUUGACAUAUGAAUUUUUGGCGUAUUUGGAUUCUUUUUAACGGUGAAAAACACCUGCCGCACUCAAGGCCUUUUUCAUAACGAAACUCAAUUUUUGCAUUUCAACCAUGUGGUUCUGCCUAAGCUGUAGAGGAUGAGGAUGCCCGAAAAAGCAUGCUAUUGAGUACUGUAAUACAAAACUCACUCGUUAAAAGCCUACUGGAAAAGCUUUUCAAUAAUUAAAUAAAAAUAAAAAUAUUUCAAC
This is a long non-coding RNA of Toxorhynchites rutilus septentrionalis, 2423 nucleotides long. RefSeq lists it as uncharacterized. The record is from RefSeq and is a predicted model, not a curated record. Lineage: Eukaryota; Metazoa; Arthropoda; Insecta; Diptera; Culicidae. The transcript has 6 exons.